This 465-nucleotide ribosomal RNA is filed under the name Vreelandella stevensii. Its description in RNAcentral is "partial 16S ribosomal RNA". It matches the Rfam family "Bacterial small subunit ribosomal RNA", at positions 338 to 795 of the family's 1533-position model. The record is from RNAcentral. Lineage: Bacteria; Pseudomonadati; Pseudomonadota; Gammaproteobacteria; Oceanospirillales; Halomonadaceae.
CCUACGGGGUGCAGCAGUGGGGAAUAUUGGACAAUGGGCGAAAGCCUGAUCCAGCCAUGCCGCGUGUGUGAAGAAGGCCUUCGGGUUGUAAAGCACUUUCAGUGGGGAAGAAAGCCUUGGGGCUAAUACCCUCGAGGAAGGACAUCACCCACAGAAGAAGCACCGGCUAACUCCGUGCCAGCAGCCGCGGUAAUACGGAGGGUGCGAGCGUUAAUCGGAAUUACUGGGCGUAAAGCGCGCGUAGGCGGUCUGAUAAGCCGGUUGUGAAAGCCCCGGGCUCAACCUGGGAACGGCAUCCGGAACUGUCAGGCUAGAGUGCAGGAGAGGAAGGUAGAAUUCCCGGUGUAGCGGUGAAAUGCGUAGAGAUCGGGAGGAAUACCAGUGGCGAAGGUGGCCUUCUGGACUGACACUGACGCUGAGGUGCGAAAGCGUGGGUAGCAAACAGGAUUAGAUACCCCUGUAGUC